Molecule: long non-coding RNA, 521 nt
Filed under: Homo sapiens (human)
Lineage: Eukaryota; Metazoa; Chordata; Mammalia; Primates; Hominidae
Description: HSALNT0269328
Source: RNAcentral
AGGAAAUGCCUAGGGAAAUCAAAAGAGAUCAUAAUUAAAUGAAAUUUUCUUGCAUUUUUCUUCAUACAGGAUUAGUUUCCGUCUCCCCUCUCUCAUCCUCCUCUGGCAGCCUCUCCACAGCACCCAUUUGUUUGGGAUGAAAUGAUGCAGAUAGGUGAGUUAUCAACAUUCCAGACAUGGGCAUGAAUCACCAGCAAACAGUCCACCCUCUGAGUCACCCAUCUCUGAGAUGAUUCCAUCAAUACAAAAUCCCACCAGAAAACUCCAAAAAGAGGAAAAAUGAGCUAUCAAGCAAGAAAGGCAUGGAGCAAUGGGAAGAGAGGAUGGCAAGUGAGGGUGGCAGGUAAAGCGACACCCCUUGGACAAGCAUAGUUUGGAUUCUUCUUAAAGUGAAAGUUUGCAGGGAAAGGGAACAGAAAGCUACAGAUGGAUUGAUCUCUUCACGCUGACACUGGGCAGGUAAACAGACUCUGAAGAUGAUAAGAACUCCUUAUCAAGCACGUUUUAUGUUAACCAAGACU